GACGAACGCUGGCGGCGUGCUUAACACAUGCAAGUCGAACGGUGAAGCGAGUGCUUGCACUCGUGGAUCAGUGGCGAACGGGUGAGUAACACGUGAGUAACCUGCCCAUCACUCUGGGAUAAGCACUGGAAACGGUGUCUAAUACUGGAUACGACCAACCCUUGCAUGGGGUGUUGGUGGAAAGAUUUAUCGGUGAUGGAUGGACUCGCGGCCUAUCAGCUUGUUGGCGGGGUAAUGGCCCACCAAGGCGACGACGGGUAGCCGGCCUGAGAGGGUGACCGGCCACACUGGGACUGAGACACGGCCCAGACUCCUACGGGAGGCAGCAGUGGGGAAUAUUGCACAAUGGGCGAAAGCCUGAUGCAGCGACGCCGCGUGAGGGAUGACGGCCUUCGGGUUGUAAACCUCUUUCAGCAGGGAAGAAGCGAAAGUGACGGUACCUGCGGAAGAAGCACCGGCUAACUACGUG
Molecule: ribosomal RNA, 469 nt
Filed under: uncultured bacterium
Lineage: Bacteria
Description: partial 16S ribosomal RNA
Rfam family: Bacterial small subunit ribosomal RNA
Source: RNAcentral